RNAcentral lists this ribosomal RNA (360 nucleotides) under uncultured soil bacterium. RNAcentral's name for it is "bacterial SSU rRNA". It matches the Rfam family "Bacterial small subunit ribosomal RNA", at positions 26 to 383 of the family's 1533-position model. The record is from RNAcentral.
AGAUUGAACGCUGGCGGCAUGCUUUACACAUGCAAGUCGAACGGUAACAGGCCGCAAGGUGCUGACGAGUGGCGAACGGGUGAGUAAUGUAUCGGAACGUGCCCAGUCGUGGGGGAUAACGCAGCGAAAGCUGCGCUAAUACCGCAUACGAUCUAUGGAUGAAAGCGGGGGACCGUAAGGCCUCGCGCGAUUGGAGCGGCCGAUAUCAGAUUAGGUAGUUGGUGGGGUAAAGGCUCACCAAGCCAACGAUCUGUAGCUGGUCUGAGAGGACGACCAGCCCACACUGGGACUGAGACACCGGCCCAGACCUCCGUAACGGGAGGCAGCGAGGUGGGGAAUUUUGGACAAGUGGCGCAAGCC